This 465-nucleotide ribosomal RNA is filed under the name uncultured Pseudomonadota bacterium. RNAcentral describes it as "bacterial SSU rRNA". It matches the Rfam family "Bacterial small subunit ribosomal RNA", at positions 36 to 496 of the family's 1533-position model. The record is from RNAcentral. Lineage: Bacteria; Pseudomonadati; Pseudomonadota.
CUGGCGGUAGGCUUAACACAUGCAAGUCGUGCGAGAAAGUACCUUCGGGUGCGAGUAGAGCGGCGGACGGGUGAGUAACGCGUAGGAAUCUACCUAGUAGAAGGGGAUAGCCCGGGGAAACUCGGAUUAAUACCGUAUACCUCCUUAGGGAGAAAGAGGGCUUAGCUUUGAUGCUCUCGCUAUUAGAUGAGCCUGCGUAAGAUUAGCUUGUUGGUGAGGUAAUGGCUCACCAAGGCGACGAUCUUUAGCUGGUCUGAGAGGACGAUCAGCCACAUUGGGACUGAGACACGGCCCAGACUCCUACGGGAGGCAGCAGUGGGGAAUAUUGGACAAUGGGCGCAAGCCUGAUCCAGCCAUACCGCGUGUGUGAAGAAGGCUUUCGGGUUGUAAAGCACUUUAAGUAAGGAGGAAAAGAUUGUAGUUAAUACCUGCAAUCCGUGACGUUACUUACAGAAUAAGGACCGG